RNAcentral lists this ribosomal RNA (245 nucleotides) under uncultured Prevotella sp. Its description in RNAcentral is "partial 16S ribosomal RNA". It matches the Rfam family "Bacterial small subunit ribosomal RNA", at positions 524 to 768 of the family's 1533-position model. Lineage: Bacteria; Pseudomonadati; Bacteroidota; Bacteroidia; Bacteroidales; Prevotellaceae. The record is from RNAcentral.
UACGGAAGGUCCGGGCGUUAUCCGGAUUUAUUGGGUUUAAAGGGAGCGCAGGCGGGAGUCUAAGCGUGCCGUGAAAAGCUGUGGCUCAACCACAGUCGUGCGGCGCGAACUGGUCUUCUUGAGUUCACGGUAAGCGGGCGGAAUUCGUGGUGUAGCGGUGAAAUGCUUAGAUAUCACGAGGAACCCCGAUUGCGAAGGCAGCCCGCUGCAGUGUUACUGACGCUCAUGCUCGAAGGCGCGGGUAU